RNAcentral lists this ribosomal RNA (3009 nucleotides) under Yersinia ruckeri. RNAcentral's name for it is "bacterial LSU rRNA". It matches the Rfam family "Bacterial large subunit ribosomal RNA". Lineage: Bacteria; Pseudomonadati; Pseudomonadota; Gammaproteobacteria; Enterobacterales; Yersiniaceae. The record is from RNAcentral.
UUAAGCGACUAAGCGUACACGGUGGAUGCCUAGGCAGUCAGAGGCGAUGAAGGGCGUGCUAAUCUGCGAAAAGCGUCGGUAAGCUGAUAUGAGGCGUAACAACCGACGAUACCCGAAUGGGGAAACCCAGUGCAAUUCGUUGCACUAUUGCAUGGUGAAUACAUAGCCAUGCAAGGCGAACCGGGGGAACUGAAACAUCUAAGUACCCCGAGGAAAAGAAAUCAACCGAGAUUCCCCAGUAGCGGCGAGCGAACGGGGAAGAGCCCAGAGUCUGAAUCAGUUUGUGUGUUAGUGGAAGCGUCUGGAAAGUCGCACGGUACAGGGUGAUAGUCCCGUACACAAAAACACACUGGCUGUGAACUCGAUGAGUAGGGCGGGACACGUGACAUCCUGUCUGAAUAUGGGGGGACCAUCCUCCAAGGCUAAAUACUCCUGACUGACCGAUAGUGAACCAGUACCGUGAGGGAAAGGCGAAAAGAACCCCGGCGAGGGGAGUGAAAUAGAACCUGAAACCGUGUACGUACAAGCAGUGGGAGCCCCACCACCAAAGCAUUCUCUGGUGUUAAAGGCCAUGCUGAAGCUCAAUCACGCGUUGGCGGAGCGUCCUUUGCGACGCCCAACACAAAAACAAGCGGUGAGUGCUUUGGGGUGGGGUGACUGCGUACCUUUUGUAUAAUGGGUCAGCGACUUAUAUUUUGUAGCAAGGUUAACCGAAUAGGGGAGCCGUAGGGAAACCGAGUCUUAACUGGGCGUCUAGUUGCAAGGUAUAGACCCGAAACCCGGUGAUCUAGCCAUGGGCAGGUUGAAGGUUGGGUAACACUAACUGGAGGACCGAACCGACUAAUGUUGAAAAAUUAGCGGAUGACUUGUGGCUGGGGGUGAAAGGCCAAUCAAACCGGGAGAUAGCUGGUUCUCCCCGAAAGCUAUUUAGGUAGCGCCUCGUGAACUCAUCUUCGGGGGUAGAGCACUGUUUCGGCUAGGGGUCCAUCCCGGAUUACCAAACCGAUGCAAACUCCGAAUACCGAAGAAUGUUAUCACGGGAGACACACGGCGGGUGCUAACGUCCGUCGUGAAGAGGGAAACAACCCAGACCGCCAGCUAAGGUCCCAAAGUCAUGGUUAAGUGGGAAACGAUGUGGGAAGGCAUAGACAGCCAGGAUGUUGGCUUAGAAGCAGCCAUCAUUUAAAGAAAGCGUAAUAGCUCACUGGUCGAGUCGGCCUGCGCGGAAGAUGUAACGGGGCUAAACCAUGCACCGAAGCUGCGGCAGCGACGCUUAGGCGUUGUUGGGUAGGGGAGCGUUCUGUAAGCCGUUGAAGGUGGCCUGUGAGGGCUGCUGGAGGUAUCAGAAGUGCGAAUGCUGACAUAAGUAACGAUAAUGCGGGUGAAAAACCCGCACGCCGGAAGACCAAGGGUUCCUGUCCAACGUUAAUCGGGGCAGGGUGAGUCGACCCCUAAGGCGAGGCUGAAAAGCGUAGUCGAUGGGAAACAGGUUAAUAUUCCUGUACUGGGUGUGACUGCGAAGGGGGGACGGAGAAGGCUAGGCUAGCCGGGCGACGGUUGUCCCGGUUUAAGCAUGUAGGCGGAGUGACUUGGUAAAUCCGGUUGCUUAUCAACGCUGAGGUGUGAUGACGAGCCACUACGGUGGUGAAGUAGUUGAUGCCAAGCUUCCAGGAAAAGCCUCUAAGCAUCAGGUGACAUUCAAUCGUACCCCAAACCGACACAGGUGGUCAGGUAGAGAAUACUCAGGCGCUUGAGAGAACUCGGGUGAAGGAACUAGGCAAAAUGGUGCCGUAACUUCGGGAGAAGGCACGCUGGCAUUAGGUAAAGAGACUUGCUCUCGGCGCCGAAGCCAGUCGCAGAUACCAGCUGGCUGCAACUGUUUAAUAAAAACACAGCACUGUGCAAACACGAAAGUGGACGUAUACGGUGUGACGCCUGCCCGGUGCUGGAAGGUUAAUUGAUGGGGUCAGCCGCAAGGCGAAGCUCUUGAUCGAAGCCCCAGUAAACGGCGGCCGUAACUAUAACGGUCCUAAGGUAGCGAAAUUCCUUGUCGGGUAAGUUCCGACCUGCACGAAUGGCGUAAUGAUGGCCAGGCUGUCUCCACCCGAGACUCAGUGAAAUUGAACUCGCUGUGAAGAUGCAGUGUACCCGCGGCAAGACGGAAAGACCCCGUGAACCUUUACUAUAGCUUGACACUGAAUAUUGAGCCUUGAUGUGUAGGAUAGGUGGGAGGCAUCGAAGCGUGGACGCCAGUCUGCGUGGAGCCAACCUUGAAAUACCACCCUUUAAUGUUUGAUGUUCUAACUCGGCCCCAUAAUCUGGGGUGAGGACAGUGUCUGGUGGGUAGUUUGACUGGGGCGGUCUCCUCCCAAAGAGUAACGGAGGAGCACGAAGGUUAGCUAAUCACGGUCGGACAUCGUGAGGUUAGUGCAAAGGCAUAAGCUAGCUUGACUGCGAGAGUGACGGCUCGAGCAGGUACGAAAGUAGGUCUUAGUGAUCCGGUGGUUCUGAAUGGAAGGGCCAUCGCUCAACGGAUAAAAGGUACUCCGGGGAUAACAGGCUGAUACCGCCCAAGAGUUCAUAUCGACGGCGGUGUUUGGCACCUCGAUGUCGGCUCAUCACAUCCUGGGGCUGAAGUAGGUCCCAAGGGUAUGGCUGUUCGCCAUUUAAAGUGGUACGCGAGCUGGGUUUAGAACGUCGUGAGACAGUUCGGUCCCUAUCUGCCGUGGGCGUUGGAAGAUUGAGAGGGGCUGCUCCUAGUACGAGAGGACCGGAGUGGACGCAUCACUGGUGUUCGGGUUGUCAUGCCAAUGGCAUUGCCCGGUAGCUAAAUGCGGAAAAGAUAAGCGCUGAAAGCAUCUAAGCGCGAAACUUGCCUCGAGAUGAGUCUUCCCUGGGGCUUUAAGCCCCCUGAAGGAACGUUAAAGACUAUGACGUUGAUAGGCUGGGUGUGUAAGUGCAGCGAUGCAUUGAGCUAACCAGUACUAAUGAUCCGUGAGGCUUAACCUU